This 152-nucleotide unclassified non-coding RNA is filed under the name uncultured Fusarium. Its description in RNAcentral is "sequence contains ITS1". Lineage: Eukaryota; Fungi; Ascomycota; Sordariomycetes; Hypocreales; Nectriaceae. The record is from RNAcentral.
CCGAGUUAUACAACUCCCAAACCCCUGUGAACUUACCUAUAACGUUGCUUCGGCGGGAACCGACGGCCCCGUAACACGGGCCGCCCCCGCCAGAGGACCCCCUAACUCUUGUUAUUUAUAUGUUUCUCUGAGUAAAACAAGCAAAUAAAUUA